CCAAUAGCGUAUAUUAAAGUUGUUGCAGUUAAAAAGCUCGUAGUUGAACUUCGGGAUUCACCCAUUGGUCAGGCUUAAUUGUCUGUACUGGUGAGAUGAGUCUCUACCUUCUGAGGAACUUUCAUGCCAUUUGUUUGGUGUGAUUGGAAAUCAGGACUGUUACUUUGAAAAAAUUAGAGUGUUUAAAGCAGGCUAACGUCUGAAUACAUUAGCAUGGAAUAAUGAAAUAGGACGGAUUGAUUCUAUUUCGUUGGUUUCUAGGGUCACCGUAAUGAUUAAUAGGGAUAGUUAGGGGCAUUAGUAUUCAAUUGUCAGAGGUGAAAUUCUUGGAUUUAUUGAAGACUAACUACUGCGAAAGCAUUUGCCAAGGAUGUUUUCAUUAAUCAAGAACGAAAGUUAGGGGAUCGAAGACGAUCAGAUACCGUCGUAGUCUUAACCAUAAACUAUGCCGACUAGGGAUCGGACGAAGUUAAUUUUAUAAUGACGCGUUCGGCACCUUACG
This 502-nucleotide unclassified non-coding RNA is filed under the name uncultured Diversispora. RNAcentral describes it as "SSU rRNA". It matches the Rfam family "Eukaryotic small subunit ribosomal RNA", at positions 591 to 1092 of the family's 1831-position model. The record is from RNAcentral. Lineage: Eukaryota; Fungi; Glomeromycota; Glomeromycetes; Diversisporales; Diversisporaceae.